UCUUUCAUUUGAACAUUCGCCUCGCAUUUUCGCAACAAUAGAAACCUAAUUCGUGCUCAAUGAAAUUCCGAUUUCACACGAUGGAAGAGCUGAACGGGCGAAACCAUUCAUUCUUUUCGUAUUUGAAACCAGAAUAGCGCAGUAUAUUUAAAUCAAUUUAGGACACAGACUCUUUCAGUCAACGGCGAAGACAGACCAGACAUGAAGGUGGCACCAGGCAAUGUAAUGAUUUCAAUAGUUGAGUAUUAAAUUGGCCAAAUAUUCGUUAAAAUAUUUUUCGUUUACUCAUCUGGUUACAUAAUACAUGCAUUAACAUAUUGUUUUCUGAAUAAAUAAAUUGUUAAAAUAGUUUACGCUUUGUAAGGCUGAUUCCAAAACUGUUUUCGUAGCUUAAAAAAUUUAAGUGUUUCUAAUGAUGUACGCUGCCAUUUUGUCAUUGUAAACGAAUGUAUUUGAAUUAAAAUUGUAUGAUUCAAGUCAAUCUUUGUUCAACUAAGGAAUACUGAAUAAAAACAUCUUAAUAACAA
Molecule: long non-coding RNA, 527 nt
Organism: Ceratitis capitata (Mediterranean fruit fly)
Lineage: Eukaryota; Metazoa; Arthropoda; Insecta; Diptera; Tephritidae
Exons: 2
Source: RefSeq, a predicted model, not a curated record